RNAcentral lists this ribosomal RNA (358 nucleotides) under uncultured bacterium. Its description in RNAcentral is "bacterial SSU rRNA". It matches the Rfam family "Bacterial small subunit ribosomal RNA", at positions 29 to 416 of the family's 1533-position model. The record is from RNAcentral.
AACGAACGCUGGCGGCAGGCCUAACACAUGCAAGUCGAACGCUCCGCAAGGGGAGUGGCGCACGGGUGAGUAACACGUGGGAACCUACCUUCUGGUACGGAACAACCAAGGGAAACUUUGGCUAAGACCGUAUACGACCUCCGGGUGAAAGAUUGAUCGCCGGAAGAGGGGCCCGCGUCCGAUUAGGUAGUUGGUGAGGUAACGGCUCACCAAGCCUUCGAUCGGUAGCUGGUCUGAGAGGAUGACCAGCCACACUGGGACUGAGACACGGCCCAGACUCCUACGGGAGGCAGCAGUGGGGAAUAUUGGACAAUGGGCGCAAGCCUGAUCCAGCCAUGCCGCGUGAGUGAAGAAGGCC